AUAAUGGGUCAGCGACUUAUAUUCUGUAGCAAGGUUAACCGAAUAGGGGAGCCGAAGGGAAACCGAGUCUUAACUGGGCGUUAAGUUGCAGGGUAUAGACCCGAAACCCGGUGAUCUAGCCAUGGGCAGGUUGAAGGUUGGGUAACACUAACUGGAGGACCGAACCGACUAAUGUUGAAAAAUUAGCGGAUGACUUGUGGCUGGGGGUGAAAGGCCAAUCAAACCGGGAGAUAGCUGGUUCUCCCCGAAAGCUAUUUAGGUAGCGCCUCGUGAAUUCAUCUCCGGGGGUAGAGCACUGUUUCGGCAAGGGGGUCAUCCCGACUUACCAACCCGAUGCAAACUGCGAAUACCGGAGAAUGUUAUCACGGGAGACACACGGCGGGUGCUAACGUCCGUCGUGAAGAGGGAAACAACCCAGACCGCCAGCUAAGGUCCCAAAGUCAUGGUUAAGUGGGAAACGAUGUGGGAAGGCCCAGACAGCCAGGAUGUUGGCUUAGAAGCAGCCAUCAUUUAAAGAAAGCGUAAUAGCUCACUGGUCGAGUCGGCCUGCGCGGAAGAUGUAACGGGGCUAAACCAUGCACCGAAGCUGCGGCAGCGACGCUUAUGCGUUGUUGGGUAGGGGAGCGUUCUGUAAGCCUGUGAAGGUGUACUGUGAGGUAUGCUGGAGGUAUCAGAAGUGCGAAUGCUGACAUAAGUAACGAUAAAGCGGGUGAAAAGCCCGCUCGCCGGAAGACCAAGGGUUCCUGUCCAACGUUAAUCGGGGCAGGGUGAGUCGACCCCUAAGGCGAGGCCGAAAGGCGUAGUCGAUGGGAAACAGGUUAAUAUUCCUGUACUUGGUGUUACUGCGAAGGGGGGACGGAGAAGGCUAUGUUGGCCGGGCGACGGUUGUCCCGGUUUAAGCGUGUAGGCUGGUUUUCCAGGCAAAUCCGGAAAAUCAAGGCUGAGGCGUGAUGACGAGGCACUACGGUGCUGAAGCAACAAAUGCCCUGCUUCCAGGAAAAGCCUCUAAGCAUCAGGUAACAUCAAAUCGUACCCCAAACCGACACAGGUGGUCAGGUAGAGAAUACCAAGGCGCUUGAGAGAACUCGGGUGAAGGAACUAGGCAAAAUGGUGCCGUAACUUCGGGAGAAGGCACGCUGAUAUGUAGGUGAAGUCCCUCGCGGAUGGAGCUGAAAUCAGUCGAAGAUACCAGCUGGCUGCAACUGUUUAUUAAAAACACAGCACUGUGCAAACACGAAAGUGGACGUAUACGGUGUGACGCCUGCCCGGUGCCGGAAGGUUAAUUGAUGGGGUUAGCGCAAGCGAAGCUCUUGAUCGAAGCCCCGGUAAACGGCGGCCGUAACUAUAACGGUCCUAAGGUAGCGAAAUUCCUUGUCGGGUAAGUUCCGACCUGCACGAAUGGCGUAAUGAUGGCCAGGCUGUCUCCACCCGAGACUCAGUGAAAUUGAACUCGCUGUGAAGAUGCAGUGUACCCGCGGCAAGACGGAAAGACCCCGUGAACCUUUACUAUAGCUUGACACUGAACAUUGAGCCUUGAUGUGUAGGAUAGGUGGGAGGCUUUGAAGUGUGGACGCCAGUCUGCAUGGAGCCGACCUUGAAAUACCACCCUU
RNAcentral lists this ribosomal RNA (1610 nucleotides) under Escherichia coli. Its description in RNAcentral is "partial 23S ribosomal RNA". It matches the Rfam family "Bacterial large subunit ribosomal RNA", at positions 612 to 2207 of the family's 2925-position model. Lineage: Bacteria; Pseudomonadati; Pseudomonadota; Gammaproteobacteria; Enterobacterales; Enterobacteriaceae. The record is from RNAcentral.